GAUGAACGCUGGCGGCGUGCCUAACACAUGCAAGUCGAGCGAUUCUCUUCGGAGAAGAGCGGCGGACGGGUGAGUAACGCGUGGGUAACCUGCCUCAUACACAUGGAUAACAUACCGAAAGGUAUGCUAAUACAAGAUGAUAUAAGAGAUUCGCAUGGGUUUCUUAUCAAAGCUCCCGGCGGUAUGAGAUGGACCCGCGUCUGAUUAGCUAGUUGGUAAGGUAACGGCUUACCAAGGCGACGAUCAGUAGCCGACCUGAGAGGGUGAUCGGCCACAUUGGAACUGAGACACGGUCCAAACUCCUACGGGAGGCAGCAGUGGGGAAUAUUGCACAAUGGGCGAAAGCCUGAUGCAGCAACGCCGCGUGAGCGAUGAAGGCCUUCGGGUCGUAAAGCUCUGUCCUCAAGGAAGAUAAUGACGGUACUUGAGGAGGAAGCCCCGGCUAACUACGUGCCAGCAGCCGCGGUAAUACGUAGGGGGCUAGCGUUAUCCGGAUUUACUGGGCGUAAAGGGUGCGUAGGUGGUUUCUUAAGUCAGGAGUGAAAGGCUACGGCUCAACCGUAGUAAGCUCUUGAAACUGGGAAACUUGAGUGCAGGAGAGGAAAGUGGAAUUCCUAGUGUAGCGGUGAAAUGCGUAGAUAUUAGGAGGAACACCAGUAGCGAAGGCGGCUUUCUGGACUGUAACUGACACUGAGGCACGAAAGCGUGGGGAGCAAACAGG
This 721-nucleotide ribosomal RNA is filed under the name uncultured Terrisporobacter sp. RNAcentral describes it as "bacterial SSU rRNA". It matches the Rfam family "Bacterial small subunit ribosomal RNA", at positions 28 to 776 of the family's 1533-position model. The record is from RNAcentral. Lineage: Bacteria; Bacillati; Bacillota; Clostridia; Peptostreptococcales; Peptostreptococcaceae.